RNAcentral lists this ribosomal RNA (438 nucleotides) under uncultured bacterium. RNAcentral describes it as "bacterial SSU rRNA". It matches the Rfam family "Bacterial small subunit ribosomal RNA", at positions 355 to 786 of the family's 1533-position model. The record is from RNAcentral.
UAGGGAAUUUUCGUCAAUGGGGGGAACCCUGAACGAGCAAUGCCGCGUGUGUGAAGAAGGUCUUCGGAUCGUAAAGCACUGUUGUAAGUGAAGAAUGCCAUAUAGAGGAAAUGCUAUGUGGGUGACGGUAGCUUACCAGAAAGCCACGGCUAACUACGUGCCAGCAGCCGCGGUAAUACGUAGGUGGCAAGCGUUAUCCGGAAUCAUUGGGCGUAAAGGGUGCGUAGGUGGCACGAUAAGUCUGAAGUAAAAGGCAACAGCUCAACUGUUGUAUGCUUUGGAAACUGUCGAGCUAGAGUGCAGAAGAGGGCGAUGGAAUUCCAUGUGUAGCGGUGAAAUGCGUAGAGAUAUGGAGGAACACCAGUGGCGAAGGCGGCUUCCUGGUCUGCAACUGACACUGAGGCGCGAAACGUGGGGGAGCAAACAGGAUUAGAUACC